AAUAGAGCAAGUCUUGCAUUUCUAACUCUCGCUAAAAACACUAGGAUAACAGCUGCUCACGAAAACUACUUUCACGUCGGACAUGAAGCUUCUGUGUGUUUUGUUACUACUUACCAUUCUGGCCACCACCAUGGCUGGGGCUCACUACCCAUAUGGAGUAUACGGCAGUUAUGGACACGGGGACUACUUGGGCCAUGAAGACUACCACGGUUAUGGUUAUCAUAAUUACCACGGGUAUGGUUAUCCUGGUUUUGGUUACGGCUAUGCCUACGGCCAUAGACGUUAUGGAUAUGGUUAUCCCCAUUAUGGAGGCUAUGGUUAUGGUUUUGGGUUCCACUAAGAUACUCCAAAUGUCAAAAUUUGGAAGAUAUUGUAUAGGUCUUUUCUACAAUUAUGAAGAUACCCACAAGGAGCCGACAUAGAUCGGGUGUGUGUGUGUGAUCGAAGCUAAAUAAAUCUACAACAUCCUACUAUACUAAUGACUUCUGGCUUUGCCAGGGUAUUUUGUGUUGU
Long non-coding RNA from Limulus polyphemus (Atlantic horseshoe crab), 513 nucleotides. RefSeq lists it as uncharacterized. The transcript has 3 exons. The record is from RefSeq and is a predicted model, not a curated record. NCBI's taxonomy places the organism in Eukaryota, Metazoa, Arthropoda, Merostomata, Xiphosura, Limulidae.